This 492-nucleotide ribosomal RNA is filed under the name uncultured bacterium. RNAcentral describes it as "partial 16S ribosomal RNA". It matches the Rfam family "Bacterial small subunit ribosomal RNA", at positions 29 to 507 of the family's 1533-position model. The record is from RNAcentral.
AGUGAACGCUGGCGGUAGGCCUAACACAUGCAAGUCGAACGGCAGCACAGUAAGAGCUUGCUCUUACGGGUGGCGAGUGGCGGACGGGUGAGGAAUACAUCGGAAUCUACUUUUUCGUGGGGGAUAACGUAGGGAAACUUACGCUAAUACCGCAUACGACCUACGGGUGAAAGCAGGGGAUCUUCGGACCUUGCGCGAUUGAAUGAGCCGAUGUCGGAUUAGCUAGUUGGCGGGGUAAAGGCCCACCAAGGCGACGAUCCGUAGCUGGUCUGAGAGGAUGAUCAGCCACAAUGGAACUGAGACACGGGCCAGAAUCCUAAGGGAGGCAGCAGUUGGGAAUAUUUGACAAUUGGCGCAAGCCUGAACCAGCCAUACCGCGUGGGUGAAGAAGGCCUUCGGGUUGUAAAACCCUUUUGUUGGGGAAGAAAAGCAGCAGGUUAAAACCCCGCCGUUCUGAAGGUACCCAAAGAAUAAGCACCGGCUAACUUCGUG